GAUGAAGAAGUAGCGAAAUGCGAUAAGUAAUGUGAAUUGCAGAAUUCAGUGAAUCAUCGAAUCUUUGAACGCACCUUGCGCUCCUUGGUAUUCCGAGGAGCAUGCCUGUUUGAGUGUCAUUAAUAUAUCAACCUUCUCUUUUUUGAGUUGUUUGGAUGUGGGGGUUUGCUGGCCUCUUAAAUGAUUCAGCUCCCCUGAAAUGCAUUAGCAGAACAACCUGUUCAUUAGCGUGAUAAUUAUCUAUGCUAUUGAAUGUGAGGGCAGUUCAGCUUUCUAACCGUCCUUGGACAAUUCAUCAUUAAUGUGACCUCAAAUCAGGUAGGACUACCCGCUGAACUUAAGCAUAUCAAUAAGCGGAGGA
RNAcentral lists this unclassified non-coding RNA (361 nucleotides) under soil metagenome. Its description in RNAcentral is "partial contains 5.8S ribosomal RNA, internal transcribed spacer 2, and large subunit ribosomal RNA". The stretch from base 1 to 119 matches the Rfam family "5.8S ribosomal RNA", at positions 35 to 154 of the family's 154-position model. The record is from RNAcentral.